RNAcentral lists this long non-coding RNA (255 nucleotides) under Elaeis guineensis (African oil palm). RNAcentral describes it as "long non-coding RNA (EGUI_LNC075336)". The record is from RNAcentral. Lineage: Eukaryota; Viridiplantae; Streptophyta; Magnoliopsida; Arecales; Arecaceae.
ACCUCAAGAACCCAAAAGGCCCAUAGCCUUUCAACCUAGGGCCCAACUAGCCCUAGAGCCUCCAUAAAGCCCUCAUGAAUGAUGGACCUUGGCCUUAGCCUUGGUCCCCUGGGCCUUGGGCACACCACUUGGAUCACAACAGCAACAUAGCUACACAGCAUGUCUGGCCUCUAUGGAUCGUCCACACGAAUUAGAAAUUCAGGUAGUCCAAUGCCUAAGUGUAGUGAGUUGCUUGCAAGUCACCGUGGCGGUCUC